AAGUUUAAGGUUGGCGCUGCAAGGUGCCACGGCACACGAAACCGCGUUGGUUUGCUCAGGUCGGUUUCGUGUGCUGUAUUUUUUACGCAUUAUUUUAUUUGGUAUCGCAUGAAUCCCAUCGUAAUUAAUCGGCUUCAACGGAAGCUGGGCUACACUUUUCAUC
Molecule: small RNA, 163 nt
Filed under: Enterobacter kobei
Lineage: Bacteria; Pseudomonadati; Pseudomonadota; Gammaproteobacteria; Enterobacterales; Enterobacteriaceae
Description: rncO
Rfam family: rncO
About the family: This family represents a bacterial regulatory element (rncO) found in the rnc leader sequence.
Source: RNAcentral